RNAcentral lists this long non-coding RNA (761 nucleotides) under Sus scrofa (pig). RNAcentral's name for it is "lncRNA (ENSSSCG00070002662.1)". The record is from RNAcentral. Lineage: Eukaryota; Metazoa; Chordata; Mammalia; Artiodactyla; Suidae.
GAACCCGCAACCUCAUGGUUCCCAGUCAGAUUCGUUAACCACUGCUUCACGACGGAACUUCAACGAGGAGUUUUAAUCUCAGGACGGUAGAAGCUGUGGAGUCCUGUGCACAAAAGAGGCACAUGAUGGCUGCAGAAGGAUACCUGGAGGCCAGAGACCAUUGAGGCUGCCGUGGUUAUAUCCCUCUAAUGACCUCCUUCUUCCCAUAGACUCCCAUGACUACAGAGGUGCUUAUGGACCGUACAGAGGUGAGUGGAGGAUAUUUGGGGCCCUCAGUGGUCCUGACCCCACCCUUUGUCUCAGGGAUUGUGUCCUGGGAUUCUUCCAGUCCAUGGGCCUGAGGACCCUGAAGAAACCACAAGCCCAGGGUUGUAAAGCCAGACUAGAGGUGAAAAGGAGAGUUCCUAUUUCUGGCAACCAAUGCAAUUUGGUGUAAAAACUUGUUCCAGACAUAGGUUCCAGAAUGUGCUAAUUCUUGGAGGUGAGACUCAGUUCAAGAAUUGUAGUUCUCCCUAUGUAUUUAUUUAUGUCUUUUUAAAGCCACACCUGAGGCAUAUGGAGGUUCCCAGGCUAGAGGUUGAAUUGAAGCUGUAGCUCCUGGCCUACACCACAGCCACAGCAACGCCAGAUCCGAGCAGUGUCUGUGACCUACACCACGGCUCACGGCAAUGCCAGAUCCUUAACCCACUGAGUAAGGCCCAGGAUUGAACCUGCGUCCUCAUGGAUACUAGUAAGAUUUUUUUCUGAUGAGCCGCAAUGGG